UGGCAUGUAGUAGCUAGCUGUAGAUCACCGGUAGUUUUGCUCUGACCUGUCGGGGUUACGUCCGCGAUGGGUCUACACAAAGAGUUUGGUUGGUUCCUCCGGCGGGCGCCUGGUUCGGGGCUGCUACCCUCGCGGGGCUUGUUCUUUACGACGCUGAGCAUUGAUUCCAAAUGAAUCGGAACUUUCAGCAACGGAUCUCUUGGUUCUGGCAUCGAUGAAUAACGCACCGAAAUGCGAUAAGUAAUGUGAAUUGCAGAAUUCAGUGAAUCAUCGAAUCUUUGAACGCACAUUGCGCCCGCCAGUAUUCUGGCGGGCAUGCCUGUCCGAGCGUCAUUUCAACCCUCGAACCCCUCCGGGGGAUCGGCGUUGGGGAUCGGGACCCCUCACACGGGUGCCGGCCCCUAAAUACAGUGGCGGUCUCGCCGCACCCUCUCCUGCACAGUAGUUUGCACACUCGCACCGGGAACGGCGGCGCGUCCACAUCCGUAAACCCCCCAACUUUUCUGAAAUGGUGGAGCUCGGAUCGGUCAGAAUAACCCGCUGACCUUGAGCCAUAUCAAUAAAGCAGGGAGAUAAAGGCGC
Molecule: ribosomal RNA, 582 nt
Filed under: Trichoderma harzianum
Lineage: Eukaryota; Fungi; Ascomycota; Sordariomycetes; Hypocreales; Hypocreaceae
Description: eukaryotic LSU rRNA
Rfam family: 5.8S ribosomal RNA (bases 180-333)
Source: RNAcentral